GCAGUCACAUUCCCAACUAUCCCCUCGAAAGAUGUCCAGUACCCCAACGGAAGGGAUGUUAAAUCCGUUGUGGCCAAGACUCGAACCCGGAUGGCGGGCAGUACAACUGUACCUCCUUUACCACCAAGCUACGAGCGCUUGGUAUCUGGUUACGUCUUUUUUCUUGGUCAUCCUUCGAAAUGAAUCAUUAUAUCGACAAUAUUCAAAUAAGUUUUU
Molecule: long non-coding RNA, 216 nt
Filed under: Brassica napus (rape)
Lineage: Eukaryota; Viridiplantae; Streptophyta; Magnoliopsida; Brassicales; Brassicaceae
Description: long non-coding RNA (BNAP_LNC005493)
Source: RNAcentral